RNAcentral lists this ribosomal RNA (442 nucleotides) under uncultured bacterium. RNAcentral describes it as "partial 16S ribosomal RNA". It matches the Rfam family "Bacterial small subunit ribosomal RNA", at positions 338 to 795 of the family's 1533-position model. The record is from RNAcentral.
CCUACGGGUGGCUGCAGUGGGGAAUAUUGGGCAAUGGACGCAAGUCUGACCCAGCAACGCCGCGUGAAGGAAGAAGGCUUUCGGGUUGUAAACUUCUUUUAAGGGGGAAGAGCAGAAGACGGUACCCCUUGAAUAAGCCACGGCUAACUACGUGCCAGCAGCCGCGGUAAUACGGAGGUGGCAAGCGUUGUCCGGAUUCACUGGGUGUAAAGGGCGUGCAGCCGGAGGGACAAGGCAGAUGUGAAAUCCACGGGCUCAACCCGUGAACUGCAUUUGAAACUGUUUCCCUUGAGUGUCGGAGAGGUAAUCGGAAUUCCUGGUGUAGGAGUGAAAUCCGUAGAUAUCUGGAGGAACAUCAGUGGCGAAGGCGACUAUCUGGCACAUAACUGACGCUGAGGAGCGAAAGCGUGGGUAGCAAACAGGAUUAGAUACCCUUGUAGUC